Molecule: long non-coding RNA, 1170 nt
Filed under: Neodiprion pinetum (white pine sawfly)
Lineage: Eukaryota; Metazoa; Arthropoda; Insecta; Hymenoptera; Diprionidae
Description: uncharacterized LOC124220282
Source: RNAcentral
AAUCUGUCAAAACGUUGCAAGUGGGACGCAACUUACGAAUAAAAGUCGGGCGUGAUCGAGUACUAAAAUAAUUACGCUUACUUUGCGCAUUCAAAUAAAGAAUGUAUAAACGGUAGUUGGGAGUGAUUACCGAAUAGCUUUAAACUAAACUGCUCGAAACGUUGUUGAAAAUAUUACGACAGUAUUUGAAAUAUUGUUAUUCUAUGCAUUUUCGUGGCACGCGUGAUACAUAUCUCAAAGAAAAGAAAAAUAAUAACGCAUGUGUACAUAUUGUCCAAGCAUCAUGAGUUCUGGUGCGAAACAAUUGAAAAUUUUUGAAACGCUGUAAUUAUGUGAUGUUGGGAUUACGUAGGACGAGAAAAAUGCAUUCGAUCGUACUGGUCGGUGGCAUUAUUUUUUUUCUCGUACUCAUGAUCCAGGUUAAACAGAUCUACGAUAAUAAUCAGAAGCACUAUAGAUUCAUGGAAUACAAACAAUACAUUAAAGAAAUUACUGCAGAAAUGAAUGUGGUUGAGAGGUCAGCCAAUAAGUCAUCUGCUUAUGUUCGACAACUCAACGAAGCUCUUCUCAAACAUCGGGAAAGAGAGGUCAGGAAUAUUUCUUUACCUCAGUUGACUACAAUCUUAUAAUCUUUAGAAAAUUCUGAAUAUUAAUAAAUAACUUAAUUUGGAAAUUAGAAAACAGUAAAAGUCCAUCGUAUGUAGAGAAAACAGAGAAAUUUGACGUUUUGAUAAAAUAAAGUCUUUGUUGGUCUCCCAUUUUACUUGCCGCAGCUAGGAUUCCAUUUAAAUCGUCUUUUUAAUGAUAACGAAUGAUGAUUCUAUAGAAAACUGGACGAUUAAGAUUACAAUAAAAUAAGACAUCAGAUGAUUCCAUUAGCACAUACAUGACAGAAAUAAGAGCUGCUAAGCGUAUUAAUGAUAAAUUUAAAAUAAUUUUAACUCGUAUUUGUAAUUGUCCACGUACCUUUAUAAUGUCAAUGAAAAAAUUACAUUUCUUUUUUAAACUUGGUUGUUGUCUGUGUAAUAUUAUAUAAGUUUGAUCUUUUCUUUACACUUUGAUAGUCUUGAACAUAGAUGUUAUCGUUACUCUUGAUAAAAAGCAAAGCUUACUUUGCGUGUAGCAUGUGUCAUUUUUUAGAGAGCAUUUUUCUCAAUUAGAUAUAGUGUU